UGCCAGACUCCUACGGGAGGCAGCAGUGAGGAAUAUUGGUCAAUGGCCGGAAGGCUGAACCAGCCAAGCCGCGUGAAGGACGAAGGUGCCAAGCAUUGUAAACUUCUUUUGUCAAGGGACAAAAUCAGGCUCGAGAGCCUGACCGAGGGUACUUGAAGAAAAAGCAUCGGCUAACUCCGUGCCAGCAGCCGCGGUAAUACGGAGGAUGCGAGCGUUAUCCGGAUUUACUGGGUGUAAAGGGAGCGUAGACGGUGCGCCAAGUCUGGAGUGAAAUGCCGCAGCUUAACUGCGGAACUGCUUUGGAAACUGGCGAACUAGAGUGCGGGAGGGGUAAGCGGAAUUCCUAGUGUAGCGGUGAAAUGCGUAGAUAUUAGGAGGAACACCGGUGGCGAAGGCGGCUUACUGGACCGUAACUGACGUUGAGGCUCGAAAGCGUGGGGAGCAAACAGGAUUAGAUACCCCAGUAU
Molecule: ribosomal RNA, 467 nt
Filed under: uncultured bacterium
Lineage: Bacteria
Description: bacterial SSU rRNA
Rfam family: Bacterial small subunit ribosomal RNA
Source: RNAcentral